This 73-nucleotide transfer RNA is filed under the name Pichia californica. Its description in RNAcentral is "[Candida] californica tRNA-Arg". It matches the Rfam family "tRNA". From Rfam's summary of the family: Transfer RNA (tRNA) molecules are approximately 80 nucleotides in length. Their secondary structure includes four short double-helical elements and three loops (D, anti-codon, and T loops). The record is from RNAcentral. Lineage: Eukaryota; Fungi; Ascomycota; Pichiomycetes; Pichiales; Pichiaceae.
UUAUCCUUAAUUUAAUGGUAAAAUAUUAAACUACGGCUUUAAAUAUAUUGGUUCAAUUCCAAUAGGAUAUUAA